GUGCUUGCUUCAGCAGCACAAAUACUAAAACUGGAAGGAUACAGAUAAGAUUAGCACGGCCCCUGCGCAAGGAUGACAGGCAAACUCAUGAAGCGGUCCAUAUUUAU
Small nuclear RNA from Fukomys damarensis (Damara mole-rat), 107 nucleotides. NCBI's taxonomy places the organism in Eukaryota, Metazoa, Chordata, Mammalia, Rodentia, Bathyergidae. The record is from Ensembl.